Molecule: long non-coding RNA, 852 nt
Filed under: Ananas comosus (pineapple)
Lineage: Eukaryota; Viridiplantae; Streptophyta; Magnoliopsida; Poales; Bromeliaceae
Description: long non-coding RNA (ACOM_LNC037161)
Source: RNAcentral
GGGUACAAGUAUACCUUGAUUCCAUCAUGAGAUUACCCUUAGAGGGUAGGUUGCUGCUGUUCGUGAGUUGAUCGUGCUCACAUAGCCUGUCUGCGCUUGGAGGGGUCGCUCCCCACAAGCUGUGCACUCCGGAGGUUGGUCACUAGAGAGAUAGUCAGUGUGCUGUCUGGACGGUCAGUGUGCUGUCCGCAGGCGGUCUCGGGGAGUAGUUCAGUGAGACUUUCCCUAUGAGAUUUACACGUGAGUUAUGCUUGUGAAUCACGAGUUCACCUUGAGAUUUGGUUACCUAUUGAGUCAUACUCAUUAUUGUUGUUCAUGGUAGCUAGCUUCAUAGUUGUUGUUGUUGUUCAUAGUUGCUUAGUUACCCAGCUUUAUUUAUUGUUCAUGCAUCCAUGAUAUUAGAUUGAGGCAUAGCUUGAUAUACCUGUUUCACAUACCUGCUUUCAGGUCAGUUUAGUUUUAUAUAUAUUGCAUAUAUAUAUCUCUCUAUGCCUGCUUAAGACCUAGUGGGUAGAUCGGCGGAGUCGGCGGCCGAACCCACUGGGAACUAUUCGUAGUUCUCACACCCUUGUUGCAGGUGCUAGUUCGAGCGUCCCGACUGAGCGGGAGGAUCGCGGCAAGGGCUUAGCGCCCUAGCAGUAUCAGUUGAUAGCUUACUUUCCUACUUGCAUUAGUUCCAUCCUGUUCUUAUAUUUUGAGAGUAGAUGAUGUAUAGGGUGAGGUUUGGAGAGGAUUUGAUGUAUUUACAUUUUUGGAAAAAGAAUGCAAGUUGUAUUAAAUGGUUAAAGCUUUAAUGACAUCAAGGGAUUAAAUGUUUCAAUUAUGUCUCAAAUAGUUAAGUUUCUCUCUUUU